This 253-nucleotide ribosomal RNA is filed under the name uncultured bacterium. Its description in RNAcentral is "partial 16S ribosomal RNA". It matches the Rfam family "Bacterial small subunit ribosomal RNA", at positions 524 to 776 of the family's 1533-position model. The record is from RNAcentral.
UACGGGGGGUGCAAACGUUGCUCGGAAUCAUUGGGCGUAAAGCGCACGUAGGCGGUCUGAUAAGUCGGAUGUGAAAGCCCUCGGCUCAACCGAGGAAGUGCAUUCGAAACUGCCAGACUUGAAUAUGGAAGAGGGUCGCGGAAUUCCCGGUGUAGAGGUGAAAUUCGUAGAUAUCGGGAGGAACACCGGUGGCGAAGGCGGCCGACUGGGCCGACCCUGACGCUGAGGCGCGAAGGCGUGGGGAGCGAACGGG